This 492-nucleotide ribosomal RNA is filed under the name uncultured bacterium. RNAcentral describes it as "partial 16S ribosomal RNA". It matches the Rfam family "Bacterial small subunit ribosomal RNA", at positions 29 to 507 of the family's 1533-position model. The record is from RNAcentral.
AGUGAACGCUGGCGGUAGGCCUAACACAUGCAAGUCGAACGGCAGCAUAGUAAGAGCUUGCUCUUACGGGUGGCGAGUGGCGGACGGGUGAGGAAUACAUCGGAAUCUACUUUUUCGUGGGGGAUAACGUAGGGAAACUUACGCUAAUACCGCAUACGACCUACCGGUGAAAGCAGGUGAUCUUCGGACCUUGCGCGAUUGAAUGAGCCGAUGUCGGAUUAGCUAGGUGGCGGGGUAAAGGCCCACCACGGCGACGAUCCGUAGCUGGCCUGAGAGGAGAGUGACCCCCACGGGAACUGAGAACGGGUCCAGACUCCAACGGGAGGCAGCAGUGGGGAAUAUUGGACAAUGGGCGCAAGCCUGAUCCAGCCAUACCGCGUGGGUGAAGAAGGCCUUCGGGUUGUAAAGCCCGUUUGUUGGGAAAGAAAAGCAGCAGGUGAAUACCCCGCUGUUCUGACGGUACCCAAAGAAUAAGCACCGGCUAACUUCGUG